RNAcentral lists this ribosomal RNA (254 nucleotides) under uncultured bacterium. RNAcentral describes it as "partial 16S ribosomal RNA". It matches the Rfam family "Bacterial small subunit ribosomal RNA", at positions 524 to 776 of the family's 1533-position model. The record is from RNAcentral.
UACGAAGGGGGCUAGCGUUGCUCGGAAUCACUGGGCGUAAAGCGCACGUAGGCGGAUCGUUAAGUCGGAGGUGAAAUCCUGGAGCUCGACUCCAGAACUGCCUUCGAUACUGGCGAUCUUGGAGUCCGGGAGAGGUGAGUGGAACUCCGAGUGUAGAGGUGAAAUUCGUAGAUAUUCGGAAGAACACCAGUGGCGAAGGCGGCUCACUGGCCCGGUACUGACGCUGAGGUGCGAAAGCGUGGGGAGCAAACAGG